This 72-nucleotide transfer RNA is filed under the name human gut metagenome. It matches the Rfam family "tRNA". Rfam says of the family: Transfer RNA (tRNA) molecules are approximately 80 nucleotides in length. Their secondary structure includes four short double-helical elements and three loops (D, anti-codon, and T loops). The record is from RNAcentral.
GAGGCAUAGCUCAGCUGGUUAGAGCGCUUGCUUCACAUGUAAGAGGUCGUAGGUUCGAGUCCUACUGUCUCC